AUACGUAGGGGGCGAGCGUUGUCCGGAAUGAUUGGGCGUAUAGGGCGCGUAGGCGGCGCGGUAAGUCUGGAGUGAAAGUCCUGCUUUCAAGGUGGGAAUUGCCUUGGAUACUGCCGCGCUUGAGUGCAGGAGAGGUUAUCGGAAUUCCCGGUGUAGCGGUGAAAUGCGUAGAGAUCGGGAGGAACACCAGUGGCGAAGGCGGGUAACUGGACUGCAACUGACGCUGAGGCGCGAAAGUGUGGGGAGCAAACAGGAUUAGAUACCCUGGUAGUCCACACUGUAAACGAUGAAUGCUUGGUGUAAGAGGUACCGACCCCUUUUGUGCCGGAGUCAACACAAUAAGCAUUCCGCCUGGGGAGUACGGCCGCAAGGUUGAAACUCAAAGGAAUUGACGGGG
RNAcentral lists this ribosomal RNA (397 nucleotides) under uncultured bacterium. Its description in RNAcentral is "partial 16S ribosomal RNA". It matches the Rfam family "Bacterial small subunit ribosomal RNA", at positions 523 to 918 of the family's 1533-position model. The record is from RNAcentral.